UACGUAGGGACCGAGCGUUGUCCGGAAUCAUUGGGCGUAAAGAGCGUGUAGGCGGCCUUUUAAGUCCUGCGUGAAAUCCUGCGGCUCAACCGCAGACGGUCGUGGGAAACUGGAAGGCUAGAGUGCGGGAGAGGAGAGUGGAAUUCCCGGUGUAGCGGUGGAAUGCGUAGAGAUCCCCAAGAACACCAGUUGCGAAGGCGGUCGUCUGGACACAUAUUGACGCUGAGGCUCGAAAGCAUGGGGAGCAAACAGG
Molecule: ribosomal RNA, 253 nt
Filed under: uncultured bacterium
Lineage: Bacteria
Description: partial 16S ribosomal RNA
Rfam family: Bacterial small subunit ribosomal RNA
Source: RNAcentral